This 393-nucleotide ribosomal RNA is filed under the name uncultured bacterium. RNAcentral describes it as "bacterial SSU rRNA". It matches the Rfam family "Bacterial small subunit ribosomal RNA", at positions 28 to 423 of the family's 1533-position model. The record is from RNAcentral.
GACGAACGCUGGCGGCGUGCUUAACACAUGCAAGUCGAGCGGUAAGGCCCUUUCGGGGGUACACGAGCGGCGAACGGGUGAGUAACACGUGGGUGACCUGCCCUCAGCUCUGGGAUAAGCCUGGGAAACCGGGUCUAAUACCGGAUAUGACUCCAUGACGCAUGUUGUGGGGUGGAAAGCCUUGUGCGGCUGAGGAUGGGCCCGCGGCCUAUCAGCUUGUUGGUGGGGUGAUGGCCUACCAAGGCGACGACGGGUAGCCGGCCUGAGAGGGCGGUCGGUCACACUGACACUGACAUACGGGUCAGACUCCUACGGGAGGCAGCAGUCGGGAAUUUGGGCAAUGGGCGAAAGCCUGACCCAGCAACGCCGCGUGAAGGAUGAAAUCCCUCGGGA